UACACAGUCCCCUGUAGUUGAGA
This 23-nucleotide microRNA is filed under the name Pristionchus pacificus. RNAcentral's name for it is "ppc-miR-8252b-3p". The record is from miRBase by way of RNAcentral. Lineage: Eukaryota; Metazoa; Nematoda; Chromadorea; Rhabditida; Neodiplogasteridae.